This is a long non-coding RNA of Teleopsis dalmanni, 550 nucleotides long. RefSeq lists it as uncharacterized. NCBI's taxonomy places the organism in Eukaryota, Metazoa, Arthropoda, Insecta, Diptera, Diopsidae. The record is from RefSeq and is a predicted model, not a curated record. The transcript is spliced from 4 exons.
AAAAAUGUCUGUUUGAUUGCAAAACUUAGAUUUAAAUUAAAUAGUGUUAACUUUGGCGUCACCAUUUGAAGUCAAUGAUACAAUUCCUUCUAAAAUAUGAAUCAUCCUUAACUGCUGUAUUGAAUAAGCCCAACGUCAGACACCAACAACUAAUGACGUACUAUUUUAUUAAGUUUUUAAAAGUAUAUAUAGAACAUGUCUGAAAGACUUGGACGUCAUUCAACAAUUGCUUAUUGCCCCAAUUGCGGUCAACAUGUUAGAACAUUCACUAGUUAUGAAAUUUCUCUAAAGACGCAUUUGCUGGCCUUACUUUUGUGUCUAUGUGGGUGCUGGUUCUGUUCUUGUAUACCUUAUUGCUCAACAUGUGUCCAUGAUAUUGCACACUACUGUACACGAUGUGGGAUGUAUUUGGGUAAUUCAAGUUUUUAAUCAAUAGCUAAUGGAUUUGUAAGAAAUAGCUAUAUUAAUCAGUACACAUAGAAAAAUAUAAGCGAAAUGUAUCUAUUGAAAGUUAUUAUGCCAUAUAUAUACAAAUAAAAUUGAAUUCAUU